CCUCUUCCAUGCUCACUUCUUUUUAAGACACGAUGGCAGGAGUCAUUGUGCGCUCCUAACAGAUUAUCUCUAUAUCUCAAUAAUUAUUAUUAUAAUCAAUAAAUUAUUUUUAUUUUAAUUAAACUGUUUCUAUAGUUUUCAAUUGAUUCAAUUCAUCAUAGAAUUCAGUGCAACAUUAACUAUUAUUACAACAAUAAUAAUUGGAUUGUUCUAUAGAAUAUUACAAUACUUUUUAAAUAAAUUACAUAUGUAUAAUAGGAUCAAAGGAAUCCCGGAUCCAAAAGUAUAUCCAAUUGUUGGAAAUAUUCAUUAAUUUGUCGGCAAUAACAAAGCUUUAUUCAACCAAAUUCUAAAUCUUGAUAAGAUUUUUUCUUAAGACUGAAUAGUCCAAUCAUUACUUAUAAGAGCGAAGUUGAAAUAGUCGAAGCAUUAGUGAUAAGAGCGAGGAAUAUGAAAACCUGAAACCUGCUGUAGGCAAUGGUGGUUUGUUAAUUGCUCCAGCAUCAGGAAUCCUCAUCGAAAAUUAUUAAGUGAAGUCCUUUUUAAAAAAUAUGUAAAGUCGCAUAUGGAUGUAUUGGUUAAUCAUUUUGUCUCUUUAAUGAAAAAAUUGGAAAUUUUGGUUGGAAAAGAAUUAGAUGUUUGCCAUUACGUUUUUUCCUGUACAUUGGACGUAUUAUAAGGUAGAAUUCAGAAAAUUUUGAAAAGUUUAUAAAUUUUAUACACACUUGUAUGAAUUUAUUAUAAUUUUGUUAAAGUUUUUAUCGAAUCCUUACGUAUAUAAAGUUGCUGACAAAUUCGGAUUGCAAAUUAGCUGAAUCUAUAGACUGGUAAUAAUAAUGAAUUUUUUAUAUUCGUUAUGUUCUUCUGUAUUUAUUUAUAAUAUCUUUUAUCUCCUUAUUCAAUGGGAUCUAUAUAACUGCAGAAAGGAUUCUGAAAUUAUGGUUACAUCUCUAUAUAAUUUUUUAUAACACUGCUCUAUAGCAGUUCCCUAUGGAAUUUCAGACAUGAUAACGUACAAGCGAAGCAUUUUUUAAUCUUUAUCGAUAUAAAUAUAUAUUAUUUUAUGUUUCGAAAGAUAAUCGAAGAUAAAAGGAAUCUGUAUUGAUAAAUGUAAUUAUUAACCAGAGAUUGACAAAGGAAAAUUCAGGUAAGAAUAAUUAUAAUAUAUACAAUACAAUUUUAAUUUUCAUCUUGUUUUAUAAUAAUAAAAGAUCCUUAUUUAUCUAUCAAAAACAAAAGCCGGAGACAUUUUUAAACUUUCGAAUCAACGCACGAAGAAGAAAAAUAAUCGGAGCAAGAUACUCGAGAUGAUAUUAAUACGAUAGUUAUAGCCGUAAGUCGCAUUUAUUAUUUAAGUGCCAUAAAAUUUUGUUUAUUGAAUAAAAUUUAAGUAAAUAGUAUAUUACUUUCAGAGAGUACAUUAAGCAAUACCAUUAGCUUUGUAAUUUUAAUACUUGCUACAUUCCCUGAUAUUCAUGUACGUAUAUAUUACACUUUCUUAAUUAUUUGUCAUUUUAAUAACGAAACUAAUUAGAUAAGAGGUUAAUAUAAAAAUUAUUUUCAUUAUAUAAAUAACGACAAAUAAUUAAAAAAAUAUAAUAUGUACGUACUUGAAUAUCAGGGAAUGUAGCAAGCAUUAAAAGUACAAAGCUAAUAGUAAUUGCUGAAGUAUCCCUUUCCUUACAAAAAUAAGACCCUUUUCUUCAAUUGUAUUUAACAAACAAAAUUUUAUUACACCUAAAUAAUAAAUGCGACUUACAGCUAUAACUAUUGUAUUAAUUUCAUCUCGGGUAUCUUGCUCCGAAUAUUUUUCUCCUUCGUGCGAUGAUUCGAAUAAAAUGUUUAAAAGUGUCUUCGGUUUUUGUUUUUAUAACAUAAAUCUUAUCAGUAUAAAAGAAGAUGAAAACUAGAAUACAGUUGCGUAUAUAAUAAUUAUUUUUAGCUGAACUUUUCAGCUUCAAUACUCGGUCAAUUGUACUUCUUAUUACAUUCAAAAUAGUUAAUUAAUGAAUAUUUCCAAUAAUUGGAUAUGCUUUUGGAUCCAGGAUUCCUUUGAUCUUAUUAUACAUAUAUAAUUUAUUUAAAUUGUGUUGUAAUAUUCUGUAGAAUAAUCCUAUUAGUAUUGCUGUAAUAAUAGUUAAUGUUUCAAUGAAUUCCAUGAUGAAUUAAAUCAAUUGAAAGUUAUAGAAAUAGUUUAAUUCAAAUAAAAAUCGUUUAAUGAUUGUAAUAAUAA
Molecule: long non-coding RNA, 2233 nt
Organism: Vespa crabro (European hornet)
Lineage: Eukaryota; Metazoa; Arthropoda; Insecta; Hymenoptera; Vespidae
Exons: 3
Source: RefSeq, a predicted model, not a curated record